Molecule: unclassified non-coding RNA, 128 nt
Filed under: uncultured fungus
Lineage: Eukaryota; Fungi
Description: sequence contains ITS1
Source: RNAcentral
CUGGACUACAGGGGUUCUAAUCCCGUUUGCUCCCCUGGCCUUCGUGCCUCAGUGUCAGGAAUUGCCCAGAGAGUCGCCUUCGCAACUGGUCUUCCUCACGAUAUCUACGCAUUUCACUGCUACACCGU